GACGAACGCUGGCGGCGCGCUUAACACAUGCAAGUCGAACGGAAAGGCCCUGCUUUUGUGGGGUGCUCGAGUGGCGAACGGGCGAGUAACACGUGAGUAACCUGCCCUUGACUUUGGGAUAACUUCAGGAAACUGGGGCUAAUACCGGAUAGGAGCUCCUGCUGCAUGGUGGGGGUUGGAAAGUUUCGGCGGUUGGGGAUGGACUCGCGGCUUAUCAGCUUGUUGGUGGGGUAGUGGCUUACCAAGGCUUUGACGGGUAGCCGGCCUGAGAGGGUGACCGGCCACAUUGGGACUGAGAUACGGCCCAGACUCCUACGGGAGGCAGCAGUGGGGAAUAUUGCACAAUGGGCGGAAGCCUGAUGCAGCAACGCCGCGUGCGGGAUGACGGCCUUCGGGUUGUAAACCGCUUUCGCCUGUGACGAAGCGUGAGUGACGGUAAUGGGUAAAGAAGCACCGGCUAACUACGUG
Molecule: ribosomal RNA, 468 nt
Filed under: uncultured bacterium
Lineage: Bacteria
Description: partial 16S ribosomal RNA
Rfam family: Bacterial small subunit ribosomal RNA
Source: RNAcentral